This 468-nucleotide ribosomal RNA is filed under the name uncultured bacterium. Its description in RNAcentral is "partial 16S ribosomal RNA". It matches the Rfam family "Bacterial small subunit ribosomal RNA", at positions 28 to 507 of the family's 1533-position model. The record is from RNAcentral.
GACGAACGCUGGCGGCGUGCUUAACACAUGCAAGUCGAACGGAAAGGCCCUGCUUUUGUGGGGUGCCCGAGUGGCAACCGGGUGAGUAAAACGUGAGUACCCUGCCCUUGCCUUUGGGAAACCUUAAGGAACCGGGGGCAAUAACCGAAAAGGAGCUCCUGCUGCAGGGGGGGGGUGGGAAAGUUUCGGCGGUUGGGGAUGGACUCGCGGCUUAUCAGCUUGUUGGUGGGGUAGUGGCUUACCAAGGCUUUGACGGGUAGCCGGCCUGAGAGGGUGACCGGCCACAUUGGGACUGAGAUACGGCCCAGACUCCUACGGGAGGCAGCAGUGGGGAAUAUUGCACAAUGGGCGGAAGCCUGAUGCAGCAACGCCGCGUGCGGGAUGACGGCCUUCGGGUUGUAAACCGCUUUCGCCUGUGACGAAGCGUGAGUGACGGUAAUGGGUAAAGAAGCACCGGCUAACUACGUG